RNAcentral lists this long non-coding RNA (310 nucleotides) under Elaeis guineensis (African oil palm). RNAcentral's name for it is "long non-coding RNA (EGUI_LNC034779)". Lineage: Eukaryota; Viridiplantae; Streptophyta; Magnoliopsida; Arecales; Arecaceae. The record is from RNAcentral.
CAUUGGAAGAGGAACUACCCUGCUUACCUGAUAAGCCUGAAGAACAAGAAAGAUGGUACACCUUCUGAUGGUAUGUCUGAUCUGCUCGUUAUCAAAACUAACCUUACGAUUUCUUCUACUUCUAGUUGGAUUAUAAACUCUGAUUCUAGUGCUCAUUUAUGCAUUUUUAUGCAGGUUCUUGAGGAUAAUUAGAGGCUGAGAGAAGGAAAAAUGACCCUACGAGUCGAAAAUGGGACAAGAGUUGUUGCUGUGGCUGUGGAGAUCUAUUCUCUGCGACUAUCAUUCGGUGUUAGCUUAAUUCUUAUGAACC